Lycium barbarum (goji berry) is the source of this 7463-nucleotide long non-coding RNA. RefSeq lists it as uncharacterized. The record is from RefSeq and is a predicted model, not a curated record. Lineage: Eukaryota; Viridiplantae; Streptophyta; Magnoliopsida; Solanales; Solanaceae. The transcript has 2 exons.
CCUAAACACUCCAUUUCCAUCUCAUCAACAACAAACCAAACAAAUCCUAAUACAUUGACUAGUUGAAUCCAGCAAUGCUUCAGCUCACCAAUGUCUAUUUUCGAUAAACGUACAGUCGACCCUUUGCUUUGUUCAGUCAUGGUUCGUCCAUUUCGGUGCAUUUCCAAGACAAACAGUGCAGCAUUUGAGGCUUAAGACUGUUACUAUACUUGUCAUAUACUUGAGCUAAGUUGCUGCAGCCUUUUGGCCACUUUUCUGCUAAGUUUUGGACCAUGAGCUGCUGCAUUUGAGUAGAUUAUCACUGCUGCACUCGAGGCUGCCAUCAUGGAUUUUUCGGGCCAUUUGUCGCUGUGUCUUUAAGUUCAUAUCUGUACUUUGAAGCCAACAACUACUGCAUUUCUUUAAGUGGAUGGUUCACUUUGAUAAAUGGUUUGCCACAGUUUCUAUGCUAAAUAGUUGUUGCCUUCUUGAAAUAUUAUUGCUAUCUUACUGUUUUUUGUUAUGGCUGUUCAUUGCUACUGCUUGUUGCUACAACGUUGCUUGUUGUGGCUGCUCAUGAUUGAGCUACUGCCUUGUUAAAAAUGACGCCAAAAAAGCUGUUGUUCUACUUUUAUGAAAAUGAAUAGAUUGCUACCAAAGUCCCGCUGAUUUGAAUAUGAUACUAUACUUGGGCUGAUGAGAACAUUUAAUUUGAGGCCAUGACUUGUCCGGAAAUGUUAUCCCUCGGUUUAGGCGAUGAUGACCUCAUAAUAAUAUCAUGAGGUAGGAACCAACAUGCGUUUGGCGAGGAACCUAGAAUCGCCACUAGUUUGCAGCCAAGAACUGUUUCGGGUUUCUUCAUCACAUUUGGAAACACGAGUCUGAGCCUCCGUAAUCAAAGCUCUCAAAGUUUGAUAUGAGUCCCAGGGGUAUUAUUUUUAUGUUCAUGAAUGUCAUCCUAUGGGGUGGCGUACUAUUUUGACUAACUACUUUUCUUUUCAUUGUGCGAGGUACAAAUAAAACAAGUAUGGAGAGCAAAGCUCAAAGACGAAGUAAAAGGAUCGGAUGCUCAGAGCUUCGAACGAAGAACUAGAAGAGCAUGGAUUGCUAAGGAUUUGGGCCCAAGGCCGAAAAAGCUAAAUCUUCUUCCCCUUUCCUUUAUUUUUGUAUAAAUAUGCUAAUUUUAUAUGUUUACAUUCAUUUUGUAUGAACAUGUAUACUUGCAAAUACCUGUGUAUUAUUGAAACCCUUUAGAACUUAGUUGGAACCUUGCAUAAGAAAAAAUAAUUCAAGUUGUUUUCAAAAACCGUUUUGGGACUUGGCACGCAGAAAGAUAAUAAAACAAAAGAAAUUCCACUUAAAUCCAAGUUGGGGAAGAUGGCUUUGGUAUGGAAUAUGAUUAACCUUAAAUGAGCUAAAAUGGUUAAAUAAGUGAAAUCCUUUUCUUUAUUUAUACUUAUAAUAUUUAUACUAUUUUCUAAAAAGGGGAGAUCUACUCCAUUUUUUCCUAAAUAUAUAUGUAUGCAUAUAAACUUAUAAGGAUAGAAUCAUGACAUUGGAACAAAUUAGUGGAAACUCUACUUAAGAAAAAUCUUAAGUAUGUUUUGGUCUGGAAAUGAAGUGAAUUUAAUCCAUUAUAAACAUUUUCUCAAGGAAAUAAUCAACUUUUCUUCCUUAAAAGAUAAUUUUGUCGAAAAGUGGAGUUGUAUGAUUAGCAUGACAGUUUUAGCAAUAAAGUAAACAUUUUUAGCAAAUAAUAACAUUAAUCACACAUUGAAGCUCGUCGGUUAACUGUAUUCUACGGAUCCUUAAUACUAGGGUGGUUAAAACCUUCCUUAGGAGAUCACAAGAACCUUUACCUCGAACUCUGGUUUAAAAGGGUAUUUCUCUUGUUUUGAUAAACCCUUGUACUCGGUUUUCCUAAUUUCCAUUACAAAAUUAGGUGGCGACUCUACAAACAUAAAAUCCAAAUAGAGUCCACAACAUCUUAGUAGCUUUUAUGCACCGGCGUAAAAGUGAACCGUAACACCCACCAACAAAUCAUCGAAUCCUGUCGAGCUCAGUAGGAAUCGGGGGUGCUGAAUAACGAGCCAAAUGCAAGAAGCGAGUCACAUAAGCAUCAACAGAUAAUCCCUUCUGCUGCAAGUAGAGGAACUCAUAUCUACAUACCUCUCUCAAGGCACGGGGCACAUACUAUUCAAGGAAGGCCCGAUAAAACUGUGUCCAAGUAAGUGGAGGAGAACCUUCUGGUUUGCAAGAAAUGAAGUACCUCCACCAGGUCUUCGCGUCUCCGCAAAAAUGGUAUGGCAUAUAAUCUACCCCGUGGGUCUCCACAAUCCCCAUCCUGUGCAAUAACUCGUGCAUGUCCAAUAUAAACUCAUAUCCAUCCUCUCCAGAAGUGCCAGCGAAUCAUGGUGGAUCCAUCUUCUUGAAUAUCCCUACAAGCUCCUGAUCAGUCAAAGUCAUAACAGGCCCUGCUAUGGGUCUAAGAUCAUCUCCCGGGGCUGGCACUGCAUCCAUCCAUGGUGCCAAUGCUGCAGCAAGGUGCGCUGCACGAGUCUGCCUCUACUCGGGGGUCUAUGUCCCACAUCUAGUCUGUGAUACUCCACCCGCAGAAUUAAUACCAGCGACAGCCUGCUAGUCAUCCAAAUGAAGUAGAACACGAGCCAUAGUAUCCUGCAUCAUCUGCUCUGAAGUGACCUCGACGUGUGCCCUUGCUGGGGCCACAUCAUCCCCGACGGUCUGGUCUCGAACCUGCUAAACCUCAGGCUCAGGAUCUGGAGAUGGAGAUCUCGCACGUUGCUGCCUAGCCGUAGGAGCCCUGUCCCUAGCUGGUGCGGCCCAGCGGCCUCUAACUCGACCGUGUCCUCGAAUGGUCACUCAUCCCCUGGUGCCAGCCUCAGCCGCGGGCUCCAGCACCUGAUCUCAGGCUAUCAUGGCUCGAGUCCUCACCAUCUGUGAGAGAAGAGAUAAGAAUAAGAUACCAAUUCGAUUGUUCCAAAUACCAAUUAGAAUAAAGUAGCAUGAAAGAAUGAAAGAAAGUGAAGUUUCCUAAAUGUCAAGUAGCCUCUCGCAAAUAAGUACGGAGCUUAUCGUACGGGUCCAUGAGACUCUAUUAGACACGCUCUUGUAUUAUAGAUAGGGUAACUGAGGGCUAUGAUACCAACUUGUCACGACCCAAUUUCACUAAGUCGUGCGGACAUCUACUUUUCCCACCUCGGUUGGCGAACCCUUAACUCAACAUUCACAAAUAAUAGAAGAAAAUACCGAAAGGAAGUAAAUAACGUAAGUCUCACGAUAAUCAUAGAAAUAAGUGCGGAAGUAAAUGAAAUCCACCCUAGUAUCUGAUCUGGUCAUACAAGAGCAUCUACCUAAAUACUACUAGUAUGAAUAAUAAUACAUAAGUAGUCUCAAAAUGAUGUCUCAGAAUGGAAAACAGGACAUAAUAAUAGGAAGAGUCUUCGGGCAGUGAACGUCCUCAUGCUCACCCUGUAGAGACUAGAAUUAGUACUCCUCGAAUAUCAGUCACGAGGAGUAGAAAUAGAUCUCACUUGGUACUCUGCAUUCAUAAAAGAAUGAGCAAGUAUGUUACCUUCUCAAAAAAAAAAAAAGAAUGCAGCAAGUACAGAUCAGUACAAACAAUAAGUACUGGUAGGUAUCAUAGGACGACUAGACUAGCUAACACAUAUAGAGACUACAAAGCAAGAUAAACACGGAAAACAACAAGGUACAAGUCAAAACGAAUACAUAACCCCAAUACAAGUCAUCACCUGUGCUAUAGCAUCUAAACCCAACUGUGCCAAGUAUCAGUAUAACCAUUCCGAACCAAUAUAUCACGAUCAUAUCAUAACAGUUCAUCACCUUUGUUAUAGCAUCUAAACUCAACUGUGCCAAGUUUCAGUAUACUGUUCCGAACUAAUAUAUCACAACCAUAUCAUAAUAGAUUCAAUCCCAAACAGUACCACACAUGGUGUACAAGUAAUAUCAAUAAUAAGGCUACACAAUAAGCCACAAUGAAAUCACAAUUAUCAUGAUAAUAUCAAUCAAGUAAAGUACCGCAAUAUCAUAGUCAUGAUAUAUCACUAGUCACUAAUACCCAAUGUCUCAACGUGGCAACGACCCAAUAAGUAAAUAGAUCAAGAUAAGUCAACAACACAACGGGGUGGCUAGCCCUCAAAUCAUACAACAAGCCCUAACCUAAGACAAUAUCCAACCUAACUUCAUACCCAAAGGUUUACAUGCAUUCUCCGAAAAUAUCAUCUAAACAUACGCUUCGCUAAUUGAAGUCUCACCUUAAGGUAAACCGUAACCUACCUGGAGAGCUGAACAACAAAGUCUCCAAUAGUCAAACCUUAGUCUUUCCCUUCCUUUGAGCCUUGAGAUGAUGGAAGUCUAAUCAUAUCUAAAUUAUGAGAUUAGAAUCAAGAAGAAACAACACUCAAUCCUUACAUCUAUUCAAGACCAAAAUCCCAACCUAUGGAAUGGGGUUUACGAACUAAAAGAUGAAAUUAGGAAUCUAUAGGUCUCAACAUGAAAUUAAUGCUCUAGGUGAUCAAUUCCCUUCAAUUAUAGGCUACAAGAACUAACAAAUCACUUAAUUUCGGAUUCUAGGCAAAACUCCCAAAUUUGGAUAUGAACCCUAAUUUCCAAUUCCAUAAAUUAGCCACUAAUUAGGAAGGAAUCAUGCAAUAAUAAUUUCUAAUCAUAAAUUCCAUGCUUAAUGAAGCUAACCCACUCAAUAAAUCAAGACUUAAUAGCCUAGAAUGAAGAACCCACAAAACCCUCUUUCAAUCCAUCAUUUCUUAAGAAAACUCACAUGUUUAAUGGAUUCCUAAGGUGAUUAAUGAAAGAUGGAAUGGAAAGGAAGGUGAAAGGACAUACCACAAUGAUUCUCUAUGAAAAAUAGCCUUGAAUGCUCCCAAAAAGCUCUAAAGUCAGAGUGGUAAUGAAUGAAGGGCAUAUGGCUUUUAUUUAACACACAUUAAAUCUAACUGCCCGUAGCCUACUUCCGCGACACCGCUUCCGUGGUCCCAUGACCGCUUCUGUGGUCUUGCCCAAAAUAUACAAUCUGCUACAGUGGUGGGGUAAUCGCUACCGUGGUCCUGCUACUGCCAUAGCGGGCACCAGACACAAAAAACUCCUAAGUUUUUCAUUAAUUCCACUCGAAAUCCUAACUAUCACCCAAGGCCAUCGACUCACAUACCAUAUAUUCAGACAUACAUGAAAACACGCUACGAACGCACUUGUGGCCUCAGAAUUCCCAAUAGAGGUCUCGUUGACCGAGUCAAUCCCCGGUACCUCAAAACUAACUUCCCAACCCAAAGUCCCAAAAUGCACCCGAGUGCAUUGGGAACUGAACUGAAUAUACACAUAAGUUCUAAAAAACCAUCCGGACCUUUUGAAAUUGACAGAUUCCUGAAAAAGGUUCGUUUACCCAAAAGUCAACUUAGAGUUAACUCUUUUUUGCUUCAAGCCGAAUUUUCCCAAAAAGCCACCCAAAUCAUAUCCAAAGACCUCAGGAAGCAUGUCAACGGUCCCUUCGGUCAAAUGUGAGCUAAACAAGCUCAAGAAAGGGUCAAAAGUAUAAAAAAGGCUAUACAAAAGGACAUGUGAGUAAAAUAUUAUGACCAUUUUGCUUACUUGGGACAGGCUGCAGCGCAACCUGUAUUUCGUAUGUUUAGUCUGCGAUGCAACCUGCAUUUGCAGGUUGAACACCAAAAAUCAGAUUUUUGUAUCACAUUUUGUGUUCGGUCUGCGUCCAGGAGGUCACACCUGCAUUUCUUAAGUCGCGUCGCAGGUAGUGCUCGGCUAUAAAAUUACAGAUCGUGAAAUUUUUGAAAAUAAUUCAUUCCACUCUGUUUUUGGCUGACUUUUUGAGGAGAAAAGACCCUAGAACUUCCCUAAAUAUCCUAAGGUGAGUUCUUCCUCAAACCCCAAGUAUUUUUCCAUCAUAUUAACAAGGAAUACACCAAUAUACGGAUAAUUAAUAAGAUUCUACGCUACAAUCCUAAGAUUCUCGACAAAAAUGAUAAGCUUAAGUGCAUUCAUGUUUUGAUGAUUGUCAAACUAAUUCUGAACCAGGUAGAGACCUGGUUUGUGAUAUGAUCUUUGUACAUCUUGCACGGUAAGAAGAGACAGUUGUAAAGCCAAUCUACUCACUGCACACAAGUACAGCAGUUGAGCUGGCCCGUGCUUUGGGUCAAAUACUGAAUGAGUCGUCUUUAUCCAUCCCACAUGCUUCCCACUAUAUAUAUAGCAUGCUGCAACAUAUUGUGUAUCACUCGAAAAACCUAAUCUAAAUUGGGCAAAAGCUGCCGUCACAAGAUUUCAAGUGAUCAUAAGAACAAGUCACUUGCAAAACUAAAGAACCUAAUCCAGUUACAGAUUUAGUGUAACUUCUUCAUGUUGUUGUAAAUCUUUGUUCUGUUGUGCAAAAAUUGUAAACCUGCUCUUCCUAAAAAGGAAGUUGUUGUAGGUAUAUCAAAUUCUUAGUAGUGGUUAGGCAGUUUACCUUUCAAUUUAUUAAGUUGUUCCCUUGUCUAAAGUUAGCUUAGGUGUAUUAGUUGGGUUUGGUUAGAGGUAGUCAACAUUAGUUUCCUUGGCUAGAGUUAGUCAAGUGGAGGUUGUCAAGUGGAGGUUUUUGCAAUCGGUGUAUUGCAAAAGGUUGAGGGACUACGGGAGUUAGUUCCUAGGUUGCCACCAUUGUAAGGGUUGAGGGAUUAUGGGAGUCAGUUCCUAGCUUACGAUAGGUUGUAAUUUGAAGUUUCUCGUAUAGUGGAGUUGAAAUCCUACUGGGGUAGUGAUGUACCGUGAAAUUAUGGCACAUUCGAUACCUUUUUACGAGAAGUUUUACUUGUUUUUGAGAAAGUAUUUGUCGUUUUUAUGUGUUUUUGUUGUGUUCCAGGUACAUCAUGGAGUUAAGGAUCAAAAGCUAAAAAAAAUUGCUGAAGUUGCACAGAAGUGGACUUUCACGGUCCGUACAAAGUUAUACGAACUGUGUCUUUGGUCGUAUAAAAGAAGGAGAAUGAAGCAGAGUGUUGAACUUGAUGAUGUAGAGACACGAGUGCCUUAUAUGGACCGUACAAUAUUAUACAGGCAGUAUAAGUUGGUCGUGUCAAAGGAUCUUAAGAACGACAAGAAGCUAUAUCUGAAGAGGGAGUUUUACGAUCGAGUUAUAUGGGCCGUGCAAGUUUAUACGAACCGUAUAAUAUCAGCUCGUGUUUUUCUCUUAAGAAUUGAAGACUGGUGGUCGUACAACUUUAUACGGUCCAUCUAAUAUUAUACAGACAUUAUAAGUUGCCGUCAAGGACUUAAGUGUAAAUUUUGUAAUUUUACGUUUUUGAAACCUAUAAAAAGUCCAAUGUAGGGUUUUAUUUAUUAUCAGCUAUUAUACUUUAAGUCUUGACUUAGAGCAUUGAAUAUUCCUUUGUUUUGGAGCUUUAAAACAUAAAUUCAAGUAUUAUUAAUUUCUCUUAUCAUCAAAA